UGCCAGUUUUGUGAGUCACCAUUGUGUAUGGUUCAACCUGGUACCUGUCAGUUAUCCAGUCUCGUGUGCCGAUGUCACUGUCACCGUGAGGCGUGGUUCUCAUUCCUGAAUCUGGACGAAUUGGCUGGAAGCUCAGGAAGGAGGUUUCUCUUCAGGAAAGAAAUGGAAGAAUAUAAGGUG
Lynx canadensis (Canada lynx) is the source of this 180-nucleotide long non-coding RNA. RefSeq lists it as uncharacterized. The record is from RefSeq and is a predicted model, not a curated record. The transcript is spliced from 2 exons. NCBI's taxonomy places the organism in Eukaryota, Metazoa, Chordata, Mammalia, Carnivora, Felidae.